UACGUAGGGUGCAGCGUUGUCCGGAAAUUAUUGGGCGUAAAGAGCUCGUAGGCGGUUUGUCGCGUCUGCUGUGAAAUCCCGAGGCUCAACCUCGGGCUUGCAGUGGGUACGGGCAGACUAGAGUGCGGUAGGGGAGAUUGGAAUUCCUGGUGUAGCGGUGGAAUGCGCAGAUAUCAGGAGGAACACCGAUGGCGAAGGCAGAUCUCUGGGCCGUAACUGACGCUGAGGAGCGAAAGCAUGGGGAGCGAACAGGAUUAGAUACCCUGGUAGUCCAUGCCGUAAACGUUGGGCGCUAGAUGUAGGGACCUUUCCACGGUUUCUGUGUCGUAGCUAACGCAUUAAGCGCCCCGCCUGGGGAGUACGGCCGCAAGGCUAAAACUCAAAGGAAUUGACGGGGGCCCGCACAAGCGGCGGAGCAUGCGGAUUAAUUCGAUGCAACGCGAAGAACCUUACCAAGGCUUGACAUACACCGGAAACGGCCAGAGAUGGUCGCCCCCUUGUGGUCGGUGUACAGGUGGUGCAUGGUUGUCGUCAGCUCGUGUCGUGAGAUGUUGGGUUAAGUCCCGCAACGAGCGCAACCCUCGUUCUAUGUUGCCAGCGGGUUAUGCCGGGGACUCAUAGGAGACUGCCGGGGUCAACUCGGAGGAAGGUGGGGAUGACGUCAAAUCAUCAUGCCCCUUAUGUCUUGGGCUUCACGCAUGCUACAAUGGCCGGUACAAAGGGCUGCGAUACCGUAAGGUGGAGCGAAUCCCAAAAAGCCGGUCUCAGUUCGGAUUGAGGUCUGCAACUCGACCUCAUGAAGUCGGAGUCGCUAGUAAUCGCAGAUCAGCAACGCUGCGGUGAAUACGUUCCCGGGCCUUGUACACACCGCCCGUCAAGUCAUGAAAGUCGGUAACACCCGAAGCCGGUGGCCUAACCCUUGUGAAGGAGCCGUCGAAGGUGGAUCG
This 947-nucleotide ribosomal RNA is filed under the name Curtobacterium sp. 36_10. RNAcentral describes it as "bacterial SSU rRNA". It matches the Rfam family "Bacterial small subunit ribosomal RNA", at positions 524 to 1470 of the family's 1533-position model. Lineage: Bacteria; Bacillati; Actinomycetota; Actinomycetes; Micrococcales; Microbacteriaceae. The record is from RNAcentral.